Molecule: ribosomal RNA, 253 nt
Filed under: uncultured bacterium
Lineage: Bacteria
Description: partial 16S ribosomal RNA
Rfam family: Bacterial small subunit ribosomal RNA
Source: RNAcentral
UACGUAGGGUGCGAGCGUUGUCCGGAAUUAUUGGGCGUAAAGAGCUUGUAGGCGGUCUGUCGCGUCUGCUGUGAAAAUCCGGGGCUCAACCCCGGACUUGCAGUGGGUACGGGCAGACUAGAGUGUGGUAGGGGAGACUGGAAUUCCUGGUGUAGCGGUGAAAUGCGCAGAUAUCAGGAGGAACACCGAUGGCGAAGGCAGGUCUCUGGGCCACUACUGACGCUGAGACGCGAAAGCGUGGGGAGCAAACAGG